CCAAAACAACUUGAUAAACAUAUAGACAUAGUGGGAGAAAGGAUAGCUGAAGAGGAACCUGAAUGGGUCUCUGGAAUUGGUUCUCGAGAACAGGACCUUCGGGUUUUGGGCAGAAUUCUACAGCUGAAGAGGUCACUGAAGGAAUUGACGCCAGCCAUCUCACGGCAAUUGUAACUGGUUCAACAAGUGGCAUUGGAAAAGAGACAGCACGAGUUCUUGCUCUACGAGGGGCUAAAGUGAUCAUACCGGCUCGAUCACUAGAAAGUGGCAUCAAAGUGAAAGAAAGCCUUCUUGAGCAGAACCCAGAUGCAAAACUCCAAGUGAUGGAGAUGGAUGUCAGCUCCUUAGAAUCAGUCCGCUCUUUUGCUCAAUCCUUCAAUUCAUCAAACAAGCACCUAAACAUUCUCAUCAAUAAUGCAGGAAUAAUGGCCUGUCCGUUCCAGUUAUCCAAGGAUGGAAUUGAGUUGCAGUUUGCAACAAACCACCUCGGGCACUUCUUGCUGACAAAUCUCCUACUUGAAAAGAUUAAAGCCACUGCCAAAGAAACAGGAAUACAGGGAAGAAUUGUCAAUGUAUCCUCCGUAGCUCAUCGGAGAAGUGACUCAUCCUGGUUUGAUCUGAAUGUGAUAAACGACGAAUCAAAGUACAAACCUUUCAAUGCAUAUUCACGCUCAAAAUUAGCAAACAUACUCCAUUCCAAUGAGCUAUCAAGGUGUUUAAAGGAAAAAGGAUCUAAUGUUACGGCCAACUCUCUUCACCCAGGAGUAAUCAUGACUAACAUCAGUCGCAGCCUGGAUCUCAAUAGUGUAGUUAUGUCGCUUGCUACUCUGGUAAAACCAUUUCUAAAAAGUAUACCACAAGGAGCUGCAACAACUUGCUAUGUAGCACUCAGUCCGCAGAUAAAAGAUGUAAGUGGAAAGUACUUUGCUGACUGCAAUGAGGCAUCCCCUUCCAAGGAAGGGGAAGAUGAAGUCUUAGGUAAAAGGCUAUGGGAAUUUUGCCAACAGAUUCUUAAAAAGAGCAAGGCAGAGAAGUAACAAGACCUUCUUCAACUGACUUCACUCCUCAGUACAGUUCUUGUCAAAGUCAAAAUCAACAAGUAAUCUGCUAGUAAUGUACUAUUGGAAAGCAUGCAUUUUGCUAGCUAAUCCAUUCCAGCUCGUUCAUGGAAAGGAAAGAUCCUGCCACUUCAAUGUUAAUUGAGCUUGAUCAAUCCUGCAUGUAAUUUUUAAGGUAUGGUUAACAGACCAUAUGGCAAGAUUAUUUUAAAAAGUCGGGAUGAAGUUAUGCAUUGUCAGAUUUUAAAUCA
Dioscorea cayenensis subsp. rotundata (Guinea yam) is the source of this 1309-nucleotide RNA transcript. It is a transcript of the gene named short-chain dehydrogenase TIC 32, chloroplastic-like, with no coding region annotated. The record is from RefSeq and is a predicted model, not a curated record. The transcript has 9 exons. Lineage: Eukaryota; Viridiplantae; Streptophyta; Magnoliopsida; Dioscoreales; Dioscoreaceae.